RNAcentral lists this long non-coding RNA (548 nucleotides) under Apis florea (little honeybee). Its description in RNAcentral is "uncharacterized LOC116414796, transcript variant X1". Lineage: Eukaryota; Metazoa; Arthropoda; Insecta; Hymenoptera; Apidae. The record is from RNAcentral.
AGCGCGCAUCAUAGUGCGCAUUAUAGUGCGCAUGACGUCAGUUUACAGUUGAAAAUUGUGACAAGAGGACGGAUCAUCGCAAAUUCGGAUUACGCAGUUUAAUUGGUAUCGUCAUAAUAGCUCUUAAAAGGCGGGAAAAAUUCCAAUAUGGACGCCAUAUCUUUCUUGAUGACGUGGUAUUUUAUAUUUCGUAUUUUAUAUUUCGUAUGUAUAAAUUUUUAUUCUAUUUUAUUGAAUUAUUAGUGAUUGUUGUUAAAAGUAAAAGUAUUUUCAGAACAAAUGCUCGAUAGGAAGAAGAAGAAAAAUAUUAAAAUAAUAUUGUUUCUUCUUCUAUCUCUCUCCACCCCUCUACUAAUUUAAUGUUAAUUUCAGAAAAUAUUUGUGAUCGCGCGCAAUGCGGUUAAUAGAAUCAGUGUUUGUUUCGUCAUAGUAUUUUAAAUAUUUUUUAGAGCACAAUAGCUUGAAUUAAGUUUAAUUAUAAUAGUUAUACGCGAAAUUAGAAUCAGUGCUUGUUUGCCGAUUACAAAAUGUAUACUGCCGCGUUAAUA